Molecule: ribosomal RNA, 309 nt
Filed under: Triticum aestivum (bread wheat)
Lineage: Eukaryota; Viridiplantae; Streptophyta; Magnoliopsida; Poales; Poaceae
Description: partial small subunit ribosomal RNA
Source: RNAcentral
AUGAAGAAAAUGUUGAGGGGGUCAUUGUUCAAAACAAGUCUGAAUAUUAUUUUUUUGUUCUGCUGUACUAAACAUUCAAUGCUUCCUUCUCUGUUUGAUUACCUUAACUAUAUUAAAAGUAGUCAUUUUUUGUUUAAUAAUUACUUCUCCAAAACAGAGGCACGAGCAAAAUCUGCUUACUUUUCUUUCAAAAUAUUUAAUAAGAAAAUUCAAUUUCUUUAUUUUUAUUCACUCUUUGUAUUUUUUAUUUAUCUAAAAGACGAGACAAAAAAAACUUUUUUAAAACAAAAAAAUAGGAGUGCUCGCUGA